UACGUAGGGUGCAAGCGUUAAUCGGAAUUACUGGGCGUAAAGCGUGCGCAGGCGGUUGUGCAAGACAGAUGUGAAAUCCCCGGGCUCAACCUGGGAAUUGCAUUUGUGACUGCACAGCUGGAGUGCGGCAGAGGGGGAUGGAAUUCCGCGUGUAGCAGUGAAAUGCGUAGAUAUGCGGAGGAACACCGAUGGCGAAGGCAAUCCCCUGGGCCUGCACUGACGCUCAUGCACGAAAGCGUGGGGAGCAAACAGG
This 253-nucleotide ribosomal RNA is filed under the name uncultured bacterium. Its description in RNAcentral is "partial 16S ribosomal RNA". It matches the Rfam family "Bacterial small subunit ribosomal RNA", at positions 524 to 776 of the family's 1533-position model. The record is from RNAcentral.